Molecule: ribosomal RNA, 253 nt
Filed under: uncultured bacterium
Lineage: Bacteria
Description: partial 16S ribosomal RNA
Rfam family: Bacterial small subunit ribosomal RNA
Source: RNAcentral
UACGUAGGGACCGAGCGUUGUCCGGAACCAUUGGGCGUAAAGAGCGUGUAGGCGGCUAUUUAAGUCCUGCGUGAAAUCCUGCGGCUCAACCGCAGACGGUCGUGGGAAACUGGAUGGCUAGAGUGCGGGAGAGGAGAGUGGAAUUCCCGGUGUAGCGGUGAAAUGCGCAGAUAUCGGGAAGAACACCCGUGGCGAAGGCGGCUCUCUGGAACGCAACUGACGCUGAGACGCGAAAGCGUGGGGAGCAAACAGG